Caretta caretta (loggerhead turtle) is the source of this 1320-nucleotide long non-coding RNA. RefSeq lists it as uncharacterized. NCBI's taxonomy places the organism in Eukaryota, Metazoa, Chordata, Testudines, Cheloniidae. The record is from RefSeq and is a predicted model, not a curated record.
UAUUAAUACUUGGUGGCAUGGGCCCCCUGGUGAGGGUCUUACAUGCUAAUUGCACUUCCUCCUCUCUCUAUUGUGUAAUAUCAGAGCUAAUUUUGAUUCUGUUAGGAGUCUAGUUAAAGGCUGCUGAGCUCGCUUUGGGCUAAUGGUGUACUAGUACUGAGGCUCCCCUACUACAAGCUGAAUUCACCAAAGAGCUGAACUGACUAAGAGCUGAAAUCACUGAGUGUUGUGUUAAGUAGUGGGGGAGCCUGAAGAUAUAUUGUGGAGCAGUUUGCGGGAUGGCUGGAGUGCCUUGUGGAUAGGCUGGUGGAGCAAUUUGUGGGACGGCGGGAGCUGCUUGUGGGCCGCAGAGCGGAACUGAGCAAAGCAGUUUGUGGGGCGGCUGGUGGAGCGGAGCAGAGCAAAGGCCUAUGGAGCUGUGGGGCGGUCAGCUUCAGAUCAACUCUCAGCUGCUUUUAGAUAUUGACUGAAAGAUCACUCUUUCAAUGGAAUUCAGCGCAAAGCACUUUGCACAGUAACUGGCCAUGGAAAGAAGCUCUUUGGCAAGAUAUAAAGAGACUAGACUAUGUCCAGGCAGUAACAAACCCUACAUGGGAGAUUCAGAAUUAUUCUCCUCUUGAAACACAGAUAAAGUGACUGAAAACUCUUCUUCACACAUGUGGACAGGAAGCAAACUCUAUAGAAGAAUCAGAGGAGCCAUUAACGAUGCCUGGAAGCCUUUAAAAAACAGUCCUGACUGCUCUAGAGUUCUAAUCUAAACUGCCAUGGAAGGAGCAUGGCAGUAUUAAUGGCAUGCAAGGAACAGAUGCUUUGGCUCAUAACUUGGUUGCAGAGCUGAAGAAGAUGACCAAAAUAUUUGUCACGUUAGUGGGGGAAUUAGAAAAAGAUUACAUCUAGAAUCAACUUUUAUCUGGAUUAAGUAUCUUUCCCAGUCACAGUUACCCUUCCCCACAAGUCUCAUUACACUGGUUAGAUUGUAUUGGCUGGGCCACUGAUGCUAUGUAAGUCUUGGUGCAAUAAACAGAUGCAGCUUCUUAAUAUUCAUGUUUCCUAUUCAAUCUUCUUAAAAUCCAUAGAAUUUGGCCACCACUUCAGGGCAUUCCCCAAUGUGGGGCCAGCAAAUGGAAGUGGAGUUCUGCCCUGACAAUGGGAUAUAUAUGCUAUAAAAAUAAUAAUUAUUAUGCCCGGGAACUGAUUUUUCAAGGUGGUGAGAUAACUGGACUACAGAGGCGGUAGGGUGGUGAUGAGGAAGGACCGAAGAUUCACAACAUUAAUGUAAUUUUCUGGGGAAAUUCUUGUUCACUCAUGCUCCUCUCUGAG